Molecule: ribosomal RNA, 250 nt
Filed under: uncultured Eubacteriales bacterium
Lineage: Bacteria; Bacillati; Bacillota; Clostridia; Eubacteriales
Description: uncultured Clostridiales bacterium partial 16S ribosomal RNA
Rfam family: Bacterial small subunit ribosomal RNA
Source: RNAcentral
GUGCCAGCAGCCGCGGUAAUACGUAAGGACCGAGCGUUGUCCGGAAUCAUUGGGCGUAAAGGGUACGUAGGCGGUUAAAAAAGUUAGAAGUGAAAGGCUAUAGCUCAACUAUAGUAAGCUUUUAAAACUGUUUAACUUGAGAGAUGGAAGGGAAAGUGGAAUUCCUAGUGUAGCGGUGAAAUGCGCAGAUAUUAGGAGGAAUACCGGUGGCGAAGGCGACUUUCUGGCCAUUAUCUGACGCUGAGGUACG